This 556-nucleotide ribosomal RNA is filed under the name uncultured fungus. RNAcentral describes it as "partial 18S ribosomal RNA". The stretch from base 1 to 220 matches the Rfam family "Eukaryotic small subunit ribosomal RNA", at positions 996 to 1831 of the family's 1831-position model. The record is from RNAcentral. Lineage: Eukaryota; Fungi.
UAUCGAAGACGAUCAGAUACCGUCGUAGUCUUAACCAUAAACUAUGCCGACUAGGGAUCGGGCGAUGUUAUCUUUUUGACUCGCUCGGCACCUUACGAGAAAUCAAAGUCUUUGGGUUCUGGGGGAGGUAUGGUCGCAAGGCUGAAACUUAAAGAAAAUUGACGGAAGGGCACCACCAGGAGUGCGACGAAAUUCGCUUUUUAGCAGACUUCGCUCCUAAAAGCCGCCUGUAAAGGGUCGGUGGUGUCCUGGCGAGAGGUCGAACAAGGCUAGUCACGCAAGUGGCAACAUCGCCAAACUGCGGGAACACCCUAAAGCUCUACCUACCAACCGGCCGUCGAAAGGCGUCCGGGGCCCGGCUAACACCCGGGGUACGGUCACAACGGUAGAGAUGUACAAUGGGUUAUCCGCAACCAAGCCCCUACAGCUUCGUGCCACGGGGAAGGUUCAGAGACUAAAUGGCGGUGGGCUCGAGGAGCUUAAGAUAUAGUCCGUCCGGGGAUAACGUCCCACGGAACCCAAACGGGAGCCUGCGGCUUAAUUUGACUCAACACGG